Long non-coding RNA from Anoplophora glabripennis (Asian longhorned beetle), 595 nucleotides. RefSeq lists it as uncharacterized. The record is from RefSeq and is a predicted model, not a curated record. The transcript is spliced from 3 exons. Lineage: Eukaryota; Metazoa; Arthropoda; Insecta; Coleoptera; Cerambycidae.
UUACACAAAAACGUGAUUUGACACAAAAUUCUUCUGAAUUUGUAACGAUGUUAGUGUAUGGUGGUGUUUGGAUAUUCUUUCCAGAAAAGCGUAAAUAAUAUACCUACCUUAUAUUCUUUAAUAGAAGAAUUAUUCACUCAUCUAGCAAAUAGUAAUAAUUUGGUUUUAGGAAAAAGGAAAUAAGCUUAAGUGAAACAGUUGUAUAUACAGUCUCUAAUGGUAACUUGAAAAACAGAAUAAAGUAAAAGGCACUGCAUAAGCAUUGGCGUAAUCCCGGUAUUGAUGGUUAUCGAAUCUAUCGUAGUAUUUUGACGUUCAUAUUAUCAGCUCCUUGAAAAAGAACUAAGUUUUCGAUGUCACCCUUUGGAUAUUAUUGUAUCUUCUAUCAGUAAACAUUAAUUGCUGCGUAAAUUAUUCUUACGUCGAAUUCCAGGAAUUUUUUGAUAGACUUAGGUCUCUUUUCCAGUCAUUGACGACAUAUCUUUCGUUACUUUCUUUCCCAGGAUAAGACAUUUAGUAUGAAAUAUAGCUACAAUUGUUUUUUUUUUAAUUUUCAGCUUCAAUGUGCCAACAUUUCCACUGUGAAGGAUAGUAA